UACGUAGGUGGCAAGCGUUGUCCGGAUUUAUUGGGUUUAAAGGGUGCGUAGGCGGCCCUGUAAGUCAGUGCUGAAAUCUCCCGGCUUAACUGGGAGGGGUCAGCAGAUACUGUCGGGCUUGAGGCAGGUAGAGGAAGGUGGAAUUCCCGGUGUAGUGGUGAAAUGCGUAGAUAUCGGGAGGAACACCAGUGGCGAAGGCGGCCUUCUGGGCCUGUCCUGACGCUGAGGCGCGAAAGCGUGGGGAGCGAACCGG
This 253-nucleotide ribosomal RNA is filed under the name uncultured bacterium. RNAcentral describes it as "partial 16S ribosomal RNA". It matches the Rfam family "Bacterial small subunit ribosomal RNA", at positions 524 to 776 of the family's 1533-position model. The record is from RNAcentral.